This 524-nucleotide unclassified non-coding RNA is filed under the name Hevea brasiliensis (rubber tree). Lineage: Eukaryota; Viridiplantae; Streptophyta; Magnoliopsida; Malpighiales; Euphorbiaceae. The record is from RNAcentral.
CACCGACAAACUAAGUCUCUUUUCAGAACUCAGAAGCUAUGGAUGAUAGUUGUGCUGUCUGUGCUGAGACACUCAAGUGGGUUGCUUAUGGACCAUGUGGCCAUCGGGAGGUCUGCUCAACUUGCACAGUCCGUCUCCGUUUCAUCUGCAAUGAUCAAUGUUGCUGCAUCUGCAAAUCUGAAUCCAGUAUCAUCUUUGUCACCAAGGCUCUCGGUGAUUACACAAGGAUGGUAAAUGAUUUCUCUGCUUUCCCAGCCAAUCCAAUUGAAGGCCAAGUUGGGCAGUACUGGUUUCAUGAAGGCGCACGAGCAUAUUUUGAUGAUCUGGAUCACUACAAAAUGAUAAAGGCCAUGUGCAGGCUAUCAUGCAAUGUUUGUGACAGAAAGAAUGAACCAAAAAGCAGAAGAUCAAAAAGAACAGGAGAUUUUAAUUGCAUUGAGCAGCUGAAGAUUCAUUUGUUCCACCAGCAUAGACUGUUUAUGUGCAGUCUUUGUUUAGAAGGCAGGAAGAUAUUUAUAAGUGGG